UCGAGAAUUUUUCACAAUGGGCGAAAGCCUGAUGGAGCGACGCCGCGUGGGGGAUGAAUGGCUUCGGCCCGUAAACCCCUGUCAUUCGCGAACAAAUUGGUUCAUUUAAUACCUGAACCAUUGAUAGUAGCGGAAGAGGAAGGGACGGCUAACUCUGUGCCAGCAGCCGCGGUAAUACAGAGGUCCCAAGCGUUGUUCGGAUUCACUGGGCGUAAAGGGUGCGUAGGCGGUCGGGUAAGUCUGAUGUGAAAUCUCUGGGCUCAACCCAGAAAUGGCAUUGGAUACUAUUCGGCUUGAGGUCUGGAGGGGGGACUGGAAUUCUCGGUGUAGCAGUGAAAUGCGUAGAUAUCGAGAGGAACACCAGUGGCGAAGGCGAGUCCCUGGACAGGUCCUGACGCUGAGGCACGAAAGCUAGGGGAGCAAACAGGAUUAGAUACCCCCGUAGUCC
Molecule: ribosomal RNA, 448 nt
Filed under: uncultured bacterium
Lineage: Bacteria
Description: bacterial SSU rRNA
Rfam family: Bacterial small subunit ribosomal RNA
Source: RNAcentral